This is a long non-coding RNA of Elgaria multicarinata webbii, 671 nucleotides long. RefSeq lists it as uncharacterized. Lineage: Eukaryota; Metazoa; Chordata; Lepidosauria; Squamata; Anguidae. The transcript has 2 exons. The record is from RefSeq and is a predicted model, not a curated record.
CUAUUUCUAUGGGCACAAGCGCUGACGUUUACGCAAGCGUGAGCGAGCCGCUUCCUCUCAGCAACGCCUGACAGACCGGGAGAGACGCGAUGGAGGCUACGGAGGGCGCUCAGCUCCGCGAGCGCGGCAAGACGCUGGAGCGCGAGCCGGAGGUAGCAGCCACCGCAGCAGCAGCAGCAGCAGGAGGGGACACGGCCCGCGGGCCACCCCUCUCCGGCACGUCCUACUGGCUGGACUUCUGGCUCCUGAUCCUCUUCGACCUGGUGGUCUUCGUCUUCGUCUAUCUGCUGCCUUGACGGGCAGGGCGCGCGCGCGCGCACCUCACAGCAGGGCAACUGGAUUCUACUCUAGAACAUCUGCCAUUGUCACUCCUUCAGCAACUCUCCAGUGCAGAACAGAAUUAAGAACACAUUACCAAUACGUGAAAUGAUGUCUGUGACACCUGUAUUUUAACUAUUGACACAUUUUGCUGGGCGUACCAGAUAUGAUUCAUGAAUGAACUUGGGAGUGGAGAUGAUUGACAUUUAUUCUUCAGGCUGAAGUACAAGUUGUGCCUUAUGUUAAUUGUAACUCAGGUAUUUAAGUGGUUGAAGGUUUUCAACGAUGUUGAAAUGCUUCAUUUUCAGUCAUUACUUUACUUUAAUAAAGAGUAACCUAGCACGGACUCAAAA